This 678-nucleotide ribosomal RNA is filed under the name Triticum aestivum (bread wheat). Its description in RNAcentral is "partial small subunit ribosomal RNA". The record is from RNAcentral. Lineage: Eukaryota; Viridiplantae; Streptophyta; Magnoliopsida; Poales; Poaceae.
AUGCAGCAGCAACACCUGAUGCAGAUGAACCAGAGCAUGAUGGGGGGCUACGCUUCCUCUACCACUGUCACCACUGAUCUCAUUCAGCAGUACCUGGAUGAGAACAAGCAGCUGAUCCUGGCCAUCCUCGACAACCAGAACAACGGCAAGGUGGAGGAGUGCGCACGGAACCAAGCCAAGCUCCAGCAGAACCUCAUGUACCUCGCCGCCAUCGCCGACAGCCAGCCGCCGCAGACGGCGUCGCUGUCUCAGUACCCGUCCAACCUGAUGAUGCAGUCCGGGCCGCGGUACAUGCCGCAGCAGUCGGCGCAGAUGAUGUCGCCGCAGUCGCUGAUGGCGGCGCGGUCGUCGAUGAUGUACGCGCAGCAGGCCAUGUCGCCGCUCCAGCAGCAGCAGCAGCAGCAGCACCAGGCGGCCGCGCACGGCCAGCUGGGGAUGUCCUCCGGCGCGACCACCGGGUUCAACCUCCUCCACGGCGAGGCCAGCAUGGGCGGCGGCGGCGGCGGCGCCAGUGGCAACAGCAUGAUGAACGCCGGCGUCUUCUCGGACUACGGCCGCGGCGGCAGCGGCGCCAAGGAGGGGUCGACCUCGCUGUCGGCCGACGCUCGCGGCGCCAACUCUGGCGCGCACAGCGGCGACGGGGAGUACCUCAAGGGCACCGAGGAGGAAGGAAGCUAG